UACGAAGGGUGCUAGCGUUGCUCGGAAUCACUGGGCGUAAAGCGCACGUAGGCGGCUUUUUAAGUCAGAGGUGAAAUCCUGGAGCUCAACUCCAGAACUGCCUUUGAUACUGGAGAGCUUGAGUCCGGGAGAGGUGAGUGGAACUGCGAGUGUAGAGGUGAAAUUCGUAGAUAUUCGCAAGAACACCAGUGGCGAAGGCGGCUCACUGGCCCGGUACUGACGCUGAGGUGCGAAAGCGUGGGGAGCAAACAGG
RNAcentral lists this ribosomal RNA (253 nucleotides) under uncultured bacterium. Its description in RNAcentral is "partial 16S ribosomal RNA". It matches the Rfam family "Bacterial small subunit ribosomal RNA", at positions 524 to 776 of the family's 1533-position model. The record is from RNAcentral.